This 253-nucleotide ribosomal RNA is filed under the name uncultured bacterium. RNAcentral's name for it is "partial 16S ribosomal RNA". It matches the Rfam family "Bacterial small subunit ribosomal RNA", at positions 524 to 776 of the family's 1533-position model. The record is from RNAcentral.
UACGGAGGAUGCGAGCGUUAUCCGGAUUUAUUGGGUUUAAAGGGUGCGUAGGUGGGAUUUUAAGUCAGUGGUGAAAGUUUGUCGCUCAACGAUAAAAUUGCCAUUGAAACUGGGAUUCUUGAGUAUGUUUGAGGUAGGCGGAAUGCGUGGUGUAGCGGUGAAAUGCAUAGAUAUCACGCAGAACUCCGAUUGCGAAGGCAGCUUACUAAACCAUAACUGACACUGAUGCACGAAAGCGUGGGUAUCAAACAGG